This 630-nucleotide ribosomal RNA is filed under the name Triticum aestivum (bread wheat). RNAcentral's name for it is "partial small subunit ribosomal RNA". The record is from RNAcentral. Lineage: Eukaryota; Viridiplantae; Streptophyta; Magnoliopsida; Poales; Poaceae.
AUGUGUUCUGGGCAGAUGCCACAAGUAGGAAGAACUAUAGUCUCUGGUGAUGUGGUAUGUUUUGAUUCUACGUACACCACUAAUCAGUACAACAUGAUCUUUGCACCAUUUACAGGGGUCAAUCAUCACUUGCAAAGUAUAUUCUUUGGUGCUUCCUUCUUAGCAAAUGAGAAGAAUGAAUCAUAUAUUUGGUUAUUUAAGACCUUCCUAAAAUCAAUGGGAGGGGUAGCACCUAGUCUUAUCAUAAUAGAUGAAGCUGCUAGCAUGAAGAUUGAUAUUGACGAAGUUCUUCCAACAACUGUGCAUAGGUUGUGCAUGUGGCAUAUAAUGGAAAAGGUGCCUGAAAAAGUUGGACCUUUGAUUAGAGAGGAUCCAGAAUUUUGGAAGAGGCUGAAUUCAUGUGUUUGGGGUUCAGAAACUACAACUGAGUUUGAGUCACAAUGGACUUCCAUCAUUACAGAUUUCGGGUUGGAAGAAAAUGAGUGGUUUGCUAAGAGGUUUAGUAUUCGAGAGACUUGGAUACCAUCCUACUUUAUGGACAUAUCUCUAGCACGCAUUCUCAGAACCACUUCAAGGUCAGAAAGUGCAAAUUCUUUUUUAACCGUUUCACCGAAGGCUCGCUUUUGUUGA